GACGAACGCUGGCGGCAUGCCUAAUACAUGCAAGUCGAGCGAACAGAUGAAGUGCUUGCACUUCUGACGUUAGCGGCGAACGGGUGAGUAACACGUAAGGAAUCUACCUAUAAGCGGGGGAUAACAUUCGGAAACGGGUGCUAAUACCGCAUAAUAUCUUCUUCCGCAUGGAAGAAGAUUGAAAGACGGCUCUGCUGUCACUUAUAGAUGACCUUGCGGUGCAUUAGUUAGUUGGUGGGGUAACUGCCUACCAAGACGAUGAUGCAUAGCCGGCCUGAGAGGGUUAUCGGCAACAUUGGGACUGGGACACGGCCCAAACUCCGACGGGAGGCAGCAGUAGGGAAUCUUCCGAAAUGGGCUAAAGCCUGACGGAGCAAUGCCGCGUGAGUGAAGAAGGCCUUCGGGUCGUAAAACUCUGUUAUAAGAGAAUAACAAAUUGUAGAGUAACUGCUACAGUCUUGACGGUAUCUUAUCAGAAAGCCACGGCUAACUACGUGCCAGCCGCCGCAGUAA
RNAcentral lists this ribosomal RNA (513 nucleotides) under uncultured bacterium. Its description in RNAcentral is "partial 16S ribosomal RNA". It matches the Rfam family "Bacterial small subunit ribosomal RNA", at positions 28 to 523 of the family's 1533-position model. The record is from RNAcentral.